Molecule: ribosomal RNA, 480 nt
Filed under: bacterium enrichment culture clone PSHTC-011
Lineage: Bacteria
Description: bacterial SSU rRNA
Rfam family: Bacterial small subunit ribosomal RNA
Source: RNAcentral
UGCUACCAUGCAGUCGACGGAACGAUACUAGCUUGCUAGUAGGCGUCGAGUGGCGGACGGGUGAGUAACGCGUAGGAAUCUGCCUGAUAGUGGGGGAUAGCCCGAAGAAAUUCGGAUUAAUACCGCAUAAUCUAUUCGUAGUAAAGUGGGGGACUUUCGAGCCUCACGCUAUCAGAUGAGCCUGCGUAAGAUUAGCUUGUUGGUAGGGUAAAAGCCUACCAAGGCGACGAUCUUUAGCUGGUCUGAGAGGAUGAUCAGCCACAUCGGGACUGAGACACGGCCCGAACUCCUACGGGAGGCAGCAGUGGGGAAUAUUGGACAAUGGGGGCAACCCUGAUCCAGCAAUACCGCGUGUGUGAAGAAGGCCUGAGGGUUGUAAAGCACUUUCAAUUGUGAAGAAAAGUUAGCGGUUAAUAACCGUUAGCCUUGACGUUAACUUUAGAAGAAGCACCGGCUAACUCCGUGCCAGCCGCCCGGGGG